CUGUGUGGGGAAGCUGAGAGCCAGAGCCACGCUCAGAGAAUGCUUGAGAGACUGAGAUGUAAACCUCAACCAGAACCAGAACCCAGCUGUGUGUCCUUUAAGAGCGACUGGUCAAAGGAUGACUUCAUUAACUUCAAAUCUUCAGGACCUGCAUCCUCAGAGAGGAUUCCUAAGACGCUGACAGAUAAACAUCAACCAGAACCAGAACCCAGCUGUGUGUCCUUUAAGAGCAACAGGUCAAAGGAUGCCAUCAUUGACUUCAGAUCUCCUGGACCUGAAUCCUCAGAGAGAGUGGACCAGCAGAACUCAGAGGUUCCCAGAGGUCCGU
This is a long non-coding RNA of Fundulus heteroclitus (mummichog), 328 nucleotides long. RefSeq lists it as uncharacterized. Lineage: Eukaryota; Metazoa; Chordata; Actinopteri; Cyprinodontiformes; Fundulidae. The transcript is spliced from 4 exons. The record is from RefSeq and is a predicted model, not a curated record.